GUCGAGGGAGAAGCUAUCUUCGGAUAGUGGAGACCGGCAGACGGGUGAGUAACACGUGGGAACAUACCGAGUAGUGGGGGAUAACAGUUGGAAACGACUGCUAAUACCGCAUACGCCCUUCGGGGGAAAGAUUUAUCGCUAUUCGAUUGGCCCGCGUUAGAUUAGCUAGUUGGUAAGGUAACGGCUUACCAAGGCGACGAUCUAUAGCUGGUUUGAGAGGAUGAUCAGCCACACUGGGACUGAGACACGGCCCAGACUCCUACGGGAGGCAGCAGUGGGGAAUAUUGCGCAAUGGAGGAAACUCUGACGCAGCCAUGCCGCGUGAGUGAAGAAGGCCUUAGGGUUGUAAAGCUCUUUCAGACGUGAUGAUGAUGACAGUAGCGUCAAAAGAAGUUCCGGCUAACUUCGUGCCAGCAGCCGCGGUAAUACGAAGGGAACUAGCGUUGUUCGGAUUUACUGGGCGUAAAGAGCAUGUAGGCGGAUUGGACAGUUGAGGGUGAAAUCCCAGAGCUCAACUCUGGAACGGCCUUCAAUACUUCCAGUCUAGAGUCCGUAAGGGGGUGGUGGAAUUCCGAGUGUAGAGGUGAAAUUCGUAGAUAUUCGGAGGAACACCAGUGGCG
This 620-nucleotide ribosomal RNA is filed under the name uncultured bacterium. Its description in RNAcentral is "bacterial SSU rRNA". It matches the Rfam family "Bacterial small subunit ribosomal RNA", at positions 61 to 717 of the family's 1533-position model. The record is from RNAcentral.